RNAcentral lists this ribosomal RNA (1338 nucleotides) under Triticum aestivum (bread wheat). RNAcentral's name for it is "partial small subunit ribosomal RNA". Lineage: Eukaryota; Viridiplantae; Streptophyta; Magnoliopsida; Poales; Poaceae. The record is from RNAcentral.
AUGGCCAUCCAGCCUAAACUGCCGUUCACACAACUCUUCCUCUUGAUUCUUUAUUUCCUUGCUGUAGUAGCGGUUCGGCCGGAAUCAUCCCAUGAAAUCAAUCUACAGCCAGCAGACUUUCCCAACGAGCGCCUCUACCGAGCCUACCUUGCCAUCCAGCGUUUCAAGAGCACCAUAACUAGUGACCCCAAUAACAUCACCUCCACCUGGUCCGGCAAUGACAUCUGUGGCGACAAGACAUAUGUCGGCUUCUACUGCGCAACGCCGCCAGGGUUAAAUGAGAAGCUAACAGUUACCGAGGUUAUUCUCAAUGGCUUUGGCCUGCAUGCGCCGAGGUUACAACGCUUCGUCGAUCAGCUUCCUGAUCUGGCGCUUUUCCAUGCGUCCUCCAACAACUUCGGUGGCGAUAUUCCUCACCUCGACAGCCUGCCAUACCUGUUCGAGUUCGGCGUCGCUAAGUACGACCUCCAACCUCUUCAUCCUUCCGGCCGUGUCUACGGGAGUGCAGAGGGAGGCGCUACGGGACAGGUUAUUACGAAAGAUGAAGGGAAGAAGAAGAAGAAAAAAAAGGGUAAACUUCAGCAGAUUCAGUGCGCAUAUACUUUUCUUAAUUUUACGUUUCACAUCCGAGUUGGCUCCCCGGGAGGAGGAGGCAACAUUCCGGGCGUUACCGAUGCUAAAGCACUUAUCCUGAACUACAACAACAUGUCCGGGAAACUUCCGACCAACAUUGGCUUCUCCAAGUUGAGCUACCUCUCCCUCGCCAACAACAAGCUCACCGGGCCAAUCCCGCCAUCAAUCGCGCGCUUGCAAGACUCCCUCCUCGAGAUGCUCCUCCUCAACAACCAGCUCUCUGGCUGCCUCCCACACGAGCUCGGCAUGCUCACCAAGAGCACCGUCAUCGACGCCGCGAUGAAUCAGCUCACCGGCCCGAUCCCUUCAUCCUUCUCGUGCCUCAGCAGCGUCGAGCAGCUCAACCUGGGCGGGAACCGCCUGUACGGGCAGGUCCCCGACGCGCUCUGCAAGCUCGCCGGACCAGCCGGCCGCCUCUCCAACCUCACGCUGGCGGGCAACUACUUCACGUCGGUCGGGACGGCGUGCUCUGCGCUCAUCAAGGACGGCCUGCUGGACGUGAAGCACAACUGCAUUCCCGGCUUCGCCAACCAGAGGGGCCCGGCGGAGUGCGCCUCGUUCCUGAGCCAGCCCAAGACGUGCCCGGCGGCGAGCGCUCGCGUGGCGUGCCCCGCCGCGGACGCCAAGAUGAACGUGGCGGCGCCGGAGGGGAAGGUGGCUAAGGACUACUCCAGCUACGUUGUGUACGCCACUCUGCAUGAGUGA